GGAGCAUGGGCGUCCACAGAGGGGGGCAAGAGGGGUCAGUGCCCCCCCCUGGGACCAGCAGACUGACCAUCUGUUUAUUCGGGCAUUUGCCCUAGGGGCCGCUCUGUAUUUUUGUAAUGUGGGCCGCUCCUGAUCUAUAAUGUUCAUUUCAAACUGUGGGCUCUAGGACCGCUCCUCCGUCCCAGCUCCCACUGUGGCUCCGCCCCUUCCACUCGUCUCCGUUCUCAUGCUGUGCUGUGUGCAGGCCUGCCUGCCUGCCAUCAGGGGGGAACAAGGAAGAAAGUUUUGGGCCAGGCAGGAUUUAGGCUCAAAGGGGGAUUAGCCAGCCCCCCUUACGAGCGUGGACAUCACUGAUGCCGAAGACGGAAGUACAGGAACUGAUGUGGUUGCAACCCUUGUGGAAAAGUGUGUCUGCUGUUGAAGGGAAUGAAUUUAAGGGACUAUGUUGUAAAGCUUCAUUCCCUGGAUUGUGCAAGAAUCAGAGAUUCUGAAAGAACGAAUGCAAUAAACACUAAACAUUAUUGAUCUGCUUUUUAUUUGUUGUUGCUGGACCUUUUGCCAGUAUAAACCCAUAUGACCUAUAGAUACACAUAUGGAUAAAAAAGUGUUGACCUACAACUCCAUCACCACAGGGAAUGCUGGCCUUUUAUCCAUAUGGCUUUUAUCCAAAUCUUCAAUAAGGUCCUUUGACUUGGCUGACUUUGUUGCCGUCAGUGUGUGACAUGCAAAAGUGAAGGCAUGAGUGCUUUACAACCCAACUAGAGUUCCUCUGCAACAACAGGCACAUUGUGAGAAAUUUGCGAGAUGAUCCAGUGGUGCCAAGCGCAAUUAUGCAAGGGAAUCAGGUCCAGACUACAUACGAGAUUUUAGAACAAAACUGCCAUACUUUACCAGUUACAUCGGAGAAGUGAUGGCACUUAUAGAGAGAGCGCUGGUGAUUUGAGUUACCAGUUACCCCUCCACUUCUACCCAAGGGGUCAUACGUUGGAGGCAUAGGCUGAGGAGUGUCUGACUUCAGCUACCUCAUUAGAAGGGAACUUCUCAAUAACUAUCACAUCAAGGAACAGUAUCUGCCUUCUCUGUGCCAGCCUGAUCAAAAUGACAGCUUUUGGUGGGGCCUUCCAGCUUUCUGGGGCCACCGGUAGCCUGCUGAUGUCUUACUACCAAAUGGCUCUCUCUGCCAGGCUCUGCUGCUUCCUCUUCCUGCCUGCCAUUCCCAGGCUGCUGAGUAACUUCCUGCCUCCCUGAGAUCUUAACUGGAAUCAAACUCAAGCUACAAAGAAAAAGACAUGAUUUGUAAAAAAAAAAAUAAUAUUUGAUUAAAACUGAGCCUAUGGAAGAUGGCAUUUCCGUAAUUUGAAGUCUUCUGGAUAAUGGGUUCCCAAUAAUGGCUCCCAUACCUGUAUUACUUAAUUUUCCUUCAUUUUGUCAGUCCGUAAUAUCCUCAAUUCAUUAUCUCCCGAGCAAGUUGUGUUGGGUGAUUGGUUGGUUUUGCACACAUUUUUCUUUUGUGUAGCUUGUGAAGUAUAGUUGAUGUGUCCAGACAAGUACUAUGUUGUAUAACGCUUGUUACAAAACCCUUAUUGUACUGACUUUAACAUCAUAUGGCAAUACCAAUUAUUUUCCAAGUAAGCUUCCCAAGUUGUUGUGUUGACUAGUGUCAAAAUCACAAUAUGUGUGUCUAAGCUUAAAGGGAACAUAACCAGGAUAGAUGUGAAAAAGAAAGAAACUGCACUUUUUUUUAUACUUGUUUAGGACAACAUGAGAAGAACUUUACUGCUAAUUAGUACAUAAAAUAAUUGUCUAAAAUGUGAUUACUGAAAGUUCCCAAAACCUAAUUUAAGAUGAGCGAUAACAACUUGCUAUAAUGCUCCACUAAAAAGGAGAGACAUACUGUGCCCUAGAGGGGUUAAUGACUGUAAAUGUUAUCAAGGCAUUAAUAGUGCUGAUUAAUGGGAAAUGAAGAGGGGCAAUGAACAGCAAGAAAAUUCCUAAUGAGAUGGAAAGUGAAUGUUCUGCAGCUGUAGGUAUGAGCACCACACUGAUGUCUCCUGGAAGGCUGACUCGUAUAACUGCCUUCACUGAACACACCGCAAUAAUGAAUUUUUCAUGCACAAAAUUGCACCUCCAGGGAUACAAGUUAUCCUGUCCCAAAUGGGUCAGUGACCUGCCAAAGACUUAGACAGCAGGAAGAGUAGAACCUAAUGAAACACAGUCGAUCAGAGAGAUAUCAUUAAAGACAUAAGGGGAUCAAUCUCUUGACUCUUAAAGACUGAAAACUUCCAUUUCGCCCACUAUGGAGCAAUCUCUGACCUGUAGAGCAUAAGGCAUCAGUCUUGCAUAACACACAGUGUAGAUUUCAUAGCAGCUUAGAAUAUUAAUGCUAAAUGGAAACAUUCCUUUAUUCAAUGGGUUUGAAUGUAUCUUGAUUAUCUUUUAUGAAAUCACCCAGCACUCCUUCCAAAUGCUGUGCUGAGUGUAAUAUGGAUGCUUUAUAACUUCUACAGGAUAUUCUGUUAUCUAAAUGUUUCUAAGAGAAUCUAAAAAAACAGCUAUAGUAGGCCAUGUGCAGGAAUAACUAGGGCUUUGUAAUUAUUAUUUUGUUAAUUGCAUUUAAAUGGACACAUAUUGGUGCCCUUGACUGCAACGAAAUCUAAAAAACUUGCAGGUUUCGGCGACAAAUCUGAAAAAGUUGCAGUUCUUGGCGACAAAAAUUCAUAAGAUUCAGAUUUUUUUUAUGUUUUUGUUGGUAAAUAACCCUAUAAACUAUGUUCCAUGGAAUUGUACUGAAAAAGAAUUUAGAUGAUGAGAAUAAAUACAGUAUGAAACAUGAUUACCAAUAACUAUACUCCAGUAUGUCCAAAGUCAGGCCUGAGGGGCAAUUGCGGCCCAUUUUCAAAUUUCAGCCUCCGUCAUGAAAUUAAUAAUAAUGCAGCCAUCAAGCACAGUGCGAUCUGGAAUCACUUAGCUGUAGCAAUAAUAUUUGGGCACAUGAUUAGUGAAAUGAUCUGCCACUUGGUCUAUACUGCUGCCUGU
Molecule: long non-coding RNA, 3036 nt
Organism: Xenopus laevis (African clawed frog)
Lineage: Eukaryota; Metazoa; Chordata; Amphibia; Anura; Pipidae
Exons: 5
Source: RefSeq, a predicted model, not a curated record